CAAGAAGGCUAACUAGCCGGGUGAGAAUCUGUGAUUGUGAAUAAAGAUUGCAGAAUCUACAAAACAUUUUAUACAAUAUCAGAUACUUUUCUGAUCCCCUUCCACAGGUAGUAUAAAACAUAUACAACCUCUGGAUCAUUUGAGGCUAAGCUAAAGAGCAAGUUGUGGCUUGACCUUUCAUCUUCCCCACCGUUUCGGCUGUUGCAGUGAUCCAGUUGAACGAGGUGAUGGAUCGGGGCUUUCUGAGACUUCGGGAUGGGUUGGCAAAUGAUUAGGAUAACUUCUUUGAACAGUCUGCUCCGAAGAAUCUGCUGUGGCAAAUAGAGUCGUAACAGAUGGUCUCUUGGUCUUGAUAGGCUUUUUCCUCAUCUCAGUAAUGCCUGACAAGUGGUGUUCGUUGACAAUUUCGAAAUUCUUGUACGUAUAACCAACAAAGUUCACAUCCUUGGGUGAAAGCUUCUUUCUCAAAGGGCCCGACUUUGAUGGAGUUUGACCUGGCACACCCAGCUCUUCAUACUUCUCAAAAUUUCGAGUGUCUAACUCAUCCUGAAUCUCUGGAAUGAUAACAGCUUCCAUUUGAUAUAAUUUAUCCCAUUGUGUACCUUUAAACCAUGGAUGCGCCUUAAUUUCUUUAGCUCCUUUGGUUCCAAUCCUUUGCUCAACAUUGCAUAGAAGUUUG
RNAcentral lists this unclassified non-coding RNA (679 nucleotides) under Hevea brasiliensis (rubber tree). The record is from RNAcentral. Lineage: Eukaryota; Viridiplantae; Streptophyta; Magnoliopsida; Malpighiales; Euphorbiaceae.